AAUUAAUUUUUAAAUUUUAAAUUUGAAUACUCGUCCUGUCAAACUCCUCGUCAAAUUUGAUCUUUAUUCCUCUGACAUCUGAAGAAAAUAAGAGGGGGAAACAAGUCGAUAAAACGAACAUUCGCAAGUUCAAGGUGUUCCCUAAAGUGCCUUAUUUUUAGGAUUCCACAGGUUCUUGGAUACCUGGCGCUAUGGCGAUCGACUCUCAAAUUCUUCAAUGGGACGAGUCUCCAACUUUCAUCGUCCUUUUCACUUUUUUUCCUUCUUCGGCCAUCAUUUUGAGACACGGAACAGUCGAUGGUACUUGAAAUUGAAGGUGCAUCUGUGCAAAUAAUCCUAAGAAAAAAAAAAUAUGCAUCGUGAUUGUCCUACGUUCGUUCAAGGUGAUCGUGCCUAGUUUAUUCGAAAUAUGUGACAUGAAACGCAAAACAAUCAUCCUGAAUUGCAGAAAUUGAUGUCGAAUAUUUCUCAACGUAUUCAAAUAUUUCACGUUAAUCUUUUGCUUGUUUUCGUCGUGCUGCUAUCAUAGGAGCAUACUAAAUCAUUUAUUUUAUACACAUUCUCAGCGAGUCUUUUCAAUCGAGGACCUCGAAUUGCUGGUAUCAUUAAAAUCAAGCUAACAAAUGGACGUGCAAAGAAGGACAAUUUAUGGAUAUUAUUCUUAUCAUUCCUCUACGUUCAAUAGUUCCUGGCAAAUAUAACGCUUACAGGCGAUAAUGCACUUUUUCGUUGUAACGAUAAUAUCGUUUUGAUAUCGCCAUGUUGCAAUGAUUAGUCUAGGUACAUAACUAUAGUAGCGUGCAAAAGUAUUCGGCCACCGUUUGAAACAGAAUACCUCAUUUAAAAUUGGACCAAAUGACUUGAGGUUUUUCGAGAAGCUAUAUAAAUUAAUUU
Molecule: long non-coding RNA, 894 nt
Organism: Osmia bicornis bicornis
Lineage: Eukaryota; Metazoa; Arthropoda; Insecta; Hymenoptera; Megachilidae
Exons: 3
Source: RefSeq, a predicted model, not a curated record